CGGGGCGUAGCGCAGCCUGGUAGCGCGCUUGCUUCGGGAGCAAGAGGUCAGGAGUUCAAAUCUCCUCGCCCCGACCA
Molecule: transfer RNA, 77 nt
Filed under: bacterium
Lineage: Bacteria
Also listed under: 1 other name
Description: tRNA-Pro
Rfam family: tRNA
About the family: Transfer RNA (tRNA) molecules are approximately 80 nucleotides in length.
Source: RNAcentral